RNAcentral lists this long non-coding RNA (1020 nucleotides) under Bemisia tabaci. Its description in RNAcentral is "lncRNA ENSSSA1NGG005906". The record is from RNAcentral. Lineage: Eukaryota; Metazoa; Arthropoda; Insecta; Hemiptera; Aleyrodidae.
AUGCUUGCGUUGAACCUUUGCCUCCAAUGGAGAAAGCCUAAAUGUCGUCAACUCCCAGACGAGCCUUACUACCAAUGCUCAAUCAAGGAUCCUAGCUGUGCAUUUCUCGAACCGAUACAAAGACCCAGAACCUUAUACGAGUGUGCCUACAGAACCCUGCACGAGGCAUUGGCAAGCAGAGGUGGAGGCAUAGGCGGAGGCAUAGGCGGAGGCAGAGGCAGAGGUGGAGGUGGAGGCAGUCACAGAGGAAGGCCGCCCCUGUCAUCCAGCGCUGCCCGGCGAUCGCGAGGGCGAGGGUCACCUGGAAGAGGAAGGUCAAGUGGAAGACAAGGAACCCACGGUGCGCGCAACUCCGGCCAAAGAAGCCCAACGCAUCAACUUCCUCCCACUCCCUUGAAUCCUUCAAUCCCUGUUGAUCCAAGUCUGAUUCAUGAUCCUUCAUUCGGCAUAGAUUCUUAUGGAAGUCCUUCACGUGCGUUUAUACGUACUGGUCGUGGUUCGAGAUGGCACCCUUAUGGGAGUCCUCCGCAUACGAAUGUGAGUCCACCGAUAGGUUCAGGUUCGAGGUAUGAUAGUGGUGGUGCGGAAGGCUCUAGAAGACGAAGCCCAACACCUUCCCUCCCGCCAUCUCCUGCAGAUACUUUGAUCCCUUAUGAUCCGACUCUCCCACACGAUCCCUCAUUUGGAGUUGAUGACUUCUCCACAGGGAGUCCUCAUCAAACAUUCUUGGGUGCACCGUACGGCAGUUCACCUCCUGGACCUCCGAUACAACCAUUGAAUCCAGUCCAUGUACCACAUUCACUCACUGAAGAUCCCAAUUUUGGAGGUGAUGCGUAUGGAACUCCAUCAUAUGGUCAAGGAGCAUAUUACACCACAACAGACCAGGGCGGGUCCUCAAGUCGCUAUCAAGGAGUUGAAAGCUCCUCCGCCGGCGGUCAAGAGGAAGAAGAAGAAGACGAAAGUGAAGAUGAUACUGGUAAGUCUGUCUAUUUACUAUCACCGUUCUCUUUGAAAAAGUAA